Molecule: non-coding RNA, 44 nt
Organism: Lasius niger
Lineage: Eukaryota; Metazoa; Arthropoda; Insecta; Hymenoptera; Formicidae
Source: Rfam
ACAUCGGCCCUUUUCAGGGCCACCAAAGAAACAAGGAGGACAUC